RNAcentral lists this ribosomal RNA (468 nucleotides) under uncultured Desulfonatronum sp. Its description in RNAcentral is "bacterial SSU rRNA". It matches the Rfam family "Bacterial small subunit ribosomal RNA", at positions 337 to 796 of the family's 1533-position model. The record is from RNAcentral. Lineage: Bacteria; Pseudomonadati; Thermodesulfobacteriota; Desulfovibrionia; Desulfovibrionales; Desulfonatronaceae.
UCCUACGGGUGGCUGCAGUGGGGAAUAUUGCGCAAUGGGCGAAAGCCUGACGCAGCAACGCCGCGUGAGGGAAGAAGGUCUUCGGAUCGUAAACCUCUGUCGGGAGGGAAGAACGGCAUGGGGUCGAACAGGCUCUGUGAUUGACGGUACCUCCAAAGGAAGCACCGGCUAACUCCGUGCCAGCAGCCGCGGUAAUACGGAGGGUGCAAGCGGUAUUCGGAAUUACUGGGCGUAAAGGGCGUGUAGGCGGCCUUGUAAGUCAGAUGUGAAAGCCCACGGCUUAACCGUGGAACUGCAUUUGAAACUGCUUGGCUCGAGUACGGGAGAGGGUGGCGGAAUUCCCGGUGUAGGAGUGAAAUCCGUAGAUAUCGGGAGGAACACCAGUGGCGAAGGCGGCCACCUGGACCGUAACUGACGCUGAGACGCGAAAGCGUGGGGAGCAAACAGGAUUAGAUACCCGAGUAGUCC